UGCGAUUGGGCCUCUGUAUUCUGCGUUA
RNAcentral lists this small RNA (28 nucleotides) under Bombyx mori (domestic silkworm). RNAcentral describes it as "ovarian small RNA-33950". The record is from RNAcentral. Lineage: Eukaryota; Metazoa; Arthropoda; Insecta; Lepidoptera; Bombycidae.